AGAGUCUAAGCAUGGAUGUCAACCUGUUUUCUUAACUUCGACAACAACUCUCUUAUAAUGACCGUGACUGAAAAGAACCUUUGAAUUUUUUUUAAAAUUUUUCACUUUUUUUAUUAUCUUAUAUACUAUGGGCUAUCAAUUAUCGCGUCAAUUAUAUAGGUAACUCGUUACAUUUGUUUUGUAAAUCACAGUACCUAAAAGAUCAUAAACCUUUUAAAAAUGAAGGAUUAAACACUCUUAUGCUGCAGGAACUCAAAAUUGAAGGAUGAAUUAACCGAAUGCGAAUCAACAAGUUCACUUUCAUAGCUUAUUUUGAGUAACAAGGUGAUUUUGAGGUGUAAGAUGAAACCUUCAUUUCUAAUUCUAUGACACUGUGAAAAGUAUUCAUGAAUGUUUUUAAUAUUUAAAAAAGUGGUCAAUUUAUAGCUCUUAAACAAGGCAGUAAACUAUAAAAUAAUAAUAGAAACAUAACCAUCAAGAGCAUAUGAAACCAUGCGAGAUCAAUUGCAAAAAUGAAGCUUCUUUUCAAAUGUAAAGCUCUUUUUAAGUUAACUUAAAAUGAGUACGUGAAACACUAGGGCUUACUGAAAUUUUUGGAAUUGAACUAUA
Non-coding RNA from Schizosaccharomyces pombe (fission yeast), 609 nucleotides. The record is from the annotation of a GenBank genome assembly. Lineage: Eukaryota; Fungi; Ascomycota; Schizosaccharomycetes; Schizosaccharomycetales; Schizosaccharomycetaceae.